This 93-nucleotide microRNA precursor is filed under the name Pristionchus pacificus. RNAcentral describes it as "microRNA ppc-mir-2247 precursor". Lineage: Eukaryota; Metazoa; Nematoda; Chromadorea; Rhabditida; Neodiplogasteridae. The record is from miRBase by way of RNAcentral.
UCCUCGAUUUACCGACUCUCCCCAUUCCUUGUGAUUGCUGACGACUAUAUAAAGUCAUCAUAUUGAAUAGGGAGGCUCAGUUCAAUCGCUGAC